This 239-nucleotide ribosomal RNA is filed under the name uncultured bacterium. Its description in RNAcentral is "partial 16S ribosomal RNA". It matches the Rfam family "Bacterial small subunit ribosomal RNA", at positions 524 to 762 of the family's 1533-position model. The record is from RNAcentral.
UACAGAGGGUGCUAGCGUUGUUCGGAAUUAUUGGGCGUAAAGAGCGUGUAGGCGGUCAGGUAGGUCCGUUGUGAAAACUCGAGGCUCAACCUCGAGACGCCGAUGGAAACCAUCUGACUAGAGUCCGGAAGAGGAGAGUGGAAUUCCUGGUGUAGCGGUGAAAUGCGCAGAUAUCAGGAAGAACACCCGUGGCUAAGGCGGCUCUCUAGUACGGUACUGACGCUGAGACGCGAAAGCGU